UCCCGGAAACGGUGGGCACAGAGGACCGGAAAUGAGGUCAUCUUGCCCCACGCAAAAGAAAACAAAAAUGGCGAACCAAGCGAGAGGGACAUUCAACGCACUGGAAGCAACAUUUGGAUUUGCCCUUCAAAGGUAUCUUCCAGAACCCAGGUGAACAUUUAUGGCUGCACACAGAAUGUGGUGGCUAUGCAUAUUCAAUGAGAAAAAUUAAAAUAAAUGUAAAGCAAUUAUUUUUGUAUAACAUUUUAAAUUGAAAUGGCUCCCAUAACAACCGGUCCAUGUACAAAGGUUUCUGAAUACUUUGGUAAGACAAACAUCUAAUGAAGAUAUAAGAGCAAAGUCCUUUUCAUUUGCAUUCUGAAUAUUGGGAUUUCUUCCUCAAGGACACUUUCUGUGCAUCACUGUUCUAUGCUUUUCAGAGUGUCAGAUGCCAGAUGAAAAAGCUUCAUUUUAUGGGGAAUUCAAGUUGAUUUCAAACAUUGCAUUUUAGUUUGAACUGGUUCAUGAGUUUGUGGUUUUUUUAAUGCCACUGAUAUUUGUGAAUUGAUGCAUUGUUAUAUUUUAAGGCCAAUUCAAUAAUUUUAUCAUUCUAUUCCACUCAAAACCCACUUUUGUUGGAGAGCACCAAUAUCUGAUUUUUAAAAUAACCCAAAAUACCAUCUAAUUAUGAAGUUAUGUGUCAUGACUUACCUGGAAGAAUUUGUUAUUCCAGAAGGUCAUCUCUUCAUAAAUAGCAAUAUUGUGAUUUUUUGCAGAGUGAAAGUUCACUUCCCCAACUUUCACACUGAGAAGGGAGUUAUUGGGGAACAGGACCCAAUUUAAAAUAUCGUAAGUUACCAUGUGUCCAAUCCCAUCAAAAAUGGCAUCUUCCACCGUAGUUUUGUUGUAAAAUAUAUUUUUUACGAACCAGUGCAUCUGAAUAUAAUAAAGAAUAUAAGUAUG
This is a long non-coding RNA of Anolis carolinensis (green anole), 942 nucleotides long. RefSeq lists it as uncharacterized. The transcript has 2 exons. The record is from RefSeq and is a predicted model, not a curated record. NCBI's taxonomy places the organism in Eukaryota, Metazoa, Chordata, Lepidosauria, Squamata, Anolidae.